RNAcentral lists this ribosomal RNA (422 nucleotides) under uncultured bacterium. RNAcentral describes it as "bacterial SSU rRNA". It matches the Rfam family "Bacterial small subunit ribosomal RNA", at positions 29 to 496 of the family's 1533-position model. The record is from RNAcentral.
AACGAACGCUGGCGGCAGGCCUAACACAUGCAAGUCGAGCGCGCCUUUCGGGGUGAGCGGCGGACGGGUUAGUAACGCGUGGGAAUAUGCCCUUUGGUACGGAAUAGCCUCUGGAAACGGAGAGUAAUACCGUAUGAGCCCUUCGGGGGAAAGAUUUAUCGCCAAAGGAUUAGCCCGCGUUAGAUUAGGUAGUUGGUGGGGUAAUGGCCUACCAAGCCUACGAUCUAUAGCUGGUUUUAGAGGAUGAUCAGCAACACUGGGACUGAGACACGGCCCAGACUCCUACGGGAGGCAGCAGUGAGGAAUCUUCCGCAAUGGGCGAAAGCCUGACGGAGCGACACCGCGUGAAGGAUGAAGGCCUAACGGUUGUAAACUUCUUUUCUGAAGGAGCAUAAUGAGAGUACUUCAGGAAUAAGGGACGC